UGACAUAUAAGUCAGCUGUGAAAGUUUACGGCUCAACCGUGAAAUUGCAGUUGAUACUGUAUGUCUUGAGUGUACAAGAGGUGGGCGGAAUUCGUGGUGUAGCGGUGAAAUGCUUAGAUAUCACGAAGAACUCCAAUUGCGAAGGCAGCUCACUGGGGUACAACUGACACUGAGGCUCGAAAGUGUGGGUAUCAAACAGGAUUAGAUACCCUGGUAGUCCACACAGUAAACGAUGAAUACUCGCUGUUUGCGAUAUACAGUAAGCGGCCAAGCGAAAGCAUUAAGUAUUCCACCUGGGGAGUACGCCGGCAACGGUGAAACUCAAAGGAAUUGACGGGGGCCCGCACAAGCGGAGGAACAUGUGGUUUAAUUCGAUGAUACGCGAGGAACCUUACCCGGGCUUGAAUUGCAGAGGAACAUAGUUGAAAGAUUAUGGCCGCAAGGUCUCUGUGAAGGUGCUACAUGGUUGUCGUCAGCUCGUGCCGUGAGGUGUCGGCUUAAGUGCCAUAACGAGCGCAACCCUUAUCAUUAGUUACUAACAGGUCAUGCUGAGGACUCUAGUGAGACUGCCGUCGUAAGAUGUGAGGAAGGUGGGGAUGACGUCAAAUCAGCACGGCCCUUACGUCCGGGGCUACACACGUGUUACAAUGGGGGGUACAGAGGGCAGCUACCGGGCGACCGGAUGCCAAUCCCAAAAACCUCUCUCAGUUCGGAUCGAAGUCUGCAACCCGACUUCGUGAAGCUGGAU
Molecule: ribosomal RNA, 748 nt
Filed under: uncultured Bacteroidales bacterium
Lineage: Bacteria; Pseudomonadati; Bacteroidota; Bacteroidia; Bacteroidales
Description: bacterial SSU rRNA
Rfam family: Bacterial small subunit ribosomal RNA
Source: RNAcentral